RNAcentral lists this unclassified non-coding RNA (2453 nucleotides) under Hevea brasiliensis (rubber tree). Lineage: Eukaryota; Viridiplantae; Streptophyta; Magnoliopsida; Malpighiales; Euphorbiaceae. The record is from RNAcentral.
GAAUUCUGUUGUGAAAAAUGUUAUUACUGUUGUUUUAUUUGAGAGCCCAAAGUGGGUUCCAAUUGUACAAGCCCAAUGUCCACCCCUGGAGUUUAGGAUUCUGAAAAAUGCUAGGAAAUAAAACCAAUGGAAGUCGAUUCUGGAUAAUAUGAAUAUAGCAAAUGUUGGGUUGCGCAUGCUUGGUUUGAAACAGAAAAGCGUUUGUAGAAGGAAAAUUUCCAAAAAAUAAAAACUACUCCAAUUCCUCUGUAAGCCUAGUGAGCCACAACGAAGCCAUAGAACAAAAUUCAGCGAGAUUGGGUGGUGAUAUUGCAGUGAUCAGAUGCACUUUAAUUUAGAAGUCAUGGAAAAGCAUAAUAGCAUCGUCAAGCUUCAUCUGUGAGGACUCCAUCAAAAUUCUCAUUUUUUUAAGUUUCUCGUAUUUAUCUUUCAUCGGCCCCUCGCGUCUAUCAAUGGGCAGAUUUACAAUCUCCUUUUGCUGUUCUAGCUCAUAAGCUACUCGAAGACUCAAAUUUAAGGCAGCAUGGAACAGCUCAUCCAGUACAUGUUCCCAAAGAACAAGCUUAUUUACCUUCCACAAUAAGAAAGUUGCUGUUCCCACAACUAAUUUCUCCAUAAGCAAGUAGUCAUCCUGCCACAGCUUAUAAAGAAUCUUAGUUGUUUCCUUCUUUUCAACAAAUAUAGUAUCUGAAAUCUUAUCAGUCUCAAGUAGGCGACUGGCCUUGGACAGUAACCUAAAAAUUCUAUACGCAUCCCUCCCAUAUCUUUUCAGCACAAUUGAUUCCACCUCUUCGCUCUGAGCUGCUUCAAUAAUAUGCUUGAAAUCUAUACUAUAUGAUUCAUCAGCCACUGUUACAAAAGGUGGGGGAGAACUCAACUGAACAAGGGCAGCCCUGACAUGAUCAAAGGUCAUGUUACGGCCUUUUUCACUCUUAAUUACUUCUUCAUAAAUGGAAUUCACCGAUAAUGGAACUGAACUUGCUGUUUUCACUUUCUUCUCUUCAGUUUUAGAUGCCUCUAGCAUUGCACUUAAGACAAUGGCGGCUCCAUCGUCCAGUCGUGCUCUCACAUUCUCAAUGCAAUCCUUAUGCCUAAGCCGGCGAAUAAAUUCCUCAAAAUUAGCACGGCAAAGAACUACUUGAUCUUCUGCAGCAUUGCAAUCUACUUGAGGCUCCGAAACAUCAAGCUUGCGCUAUAAAAUUGAGAAUGAGAGAUUAGUACAAUUGAACCUCAUAAUUAAAAUUAAAAAAAAAAAAUCAUGUACAACCUUGUCUCCGACAUGUUUGUCAGGGGAUUUAUCCUGUUUUUUUUCUCCAUCAUCAUUUAGUUCAGUAGAAAAUCUUUUUGCUUCCACAGGCACUGCUGCUGCUAGAAAAAGUUGUAGUAGUAGGAAGAAAACUAUUUAAAAAAUGAGAAUUACCUCUAUAAUAUGUAGAUGGCAUAAAUCCAUUGAUAACAGGCAAGUCAAGGAAUAUAUUUAAAUCAAGGAAUCUAAUCAUCCAUUUAUGGAAGAUAAAUAUUCCUUUAGACCCAAAUGAUAGUUCAAUGAUAAAUCAAUAGUUGCUCAUGCAUAAGUCAACUGUUACUAUUGUUCUAUAUGACAAGAACAUGCUAAUAAAUUUUAUGCAAAUAAGCAAUAACCUUAGCAGCAUCUCGCUUCCUUGCAGGAGCAUCUUCUUCAGUUGGUGAUGCAAGAGCGGGUUCAGGAGUGAGGCAGUGUUCAACAUAAUGGGCCAUCACAAGUUUGCGAAGGUUUUCUUGUACAGCAUCCAAACCUAUACUAUUUCCUUCCUUAUGACUUGAGUUGGCUCUCUCAACAAUUUGCUUCUGUGUAAGCCUACCAUGUUGAAGCAAACCCUCAACAAUGCCUACACACUGCAGAAACCACAAUAUAAAUUAUCAAACAAUGCCAUGUACCGAGUAAUUUGUUUUGGCACACUCUGGGAACUACCUUCAAAUACAAUCAUUAAAAAGACCACCGUGAAGCUCCUUAACUGAAUUUGAUUAUUCCAAUCAGGAAAAAUUCAAAAAUCACGCACUGGGUUUACUAUAAUUCCUCUAAAUUAACAUUCUUGCACUUCCACGCAUGUCAACAUAUUAAUUAAACAACUCGAAUUCAAAUACCAAAAUUUUUAGUAGUCACAAUCCACGCAACAGAAAAGCCCAGCAAUCAAACAGAGGAGGAACAUAAAUUGCCAGAGGCCAAUAUCACUGGCUUUAGACUUUUUUUUUUUUGGCAAUUUCUGGGCACCCCAGCAAAGAAGAAACGCAAAUAGAUUACCAGUUUCAUCGAGGCGCAAAGCUUGAACGCAAUUGUGCUGGAUUAAGGUCAGUAAACAGUUCUUCACACGCAUCUGAGAGAGCUCAGUGUAUCGGACAAUAUUAUGGAGAGUUAGGGAUCCUUUGCGGCGUAUUUGAUGCCGUGCCGAGUCUUCACCAUCAUUGUUCUUUGC